GAUGAAGAACGUAGCGAAAUGCGAUAAUUAAUGUGAAUUGCAGAAUUCCGUGAAUCAUCGAGUCUUUGAACGCACAUUGCGCCUCAUGGCAUUCCGUGAGGCAUGCCCAUCUCAGCGUUAGAAAAUAUUCUCAAAUUUUAGUUUUGUGCUAAAAUUUGGAACAUGUCAAGGAAGCUAUUACUAUUAUUGUGAUCGCUCUUUGGAAAUUGAUAGGUCUUUGAGUUGCUACUCAUAGAACGUGAUGAAUCUUUCUUCGUUCUAUUGUAAUUCACUCUGGUAGUCCUAAAACUUGUAUGCCUGUGGCAUAUCUUGUAAUUUGACCUGAGAUUGGGUAGGGAUACCCGCUGAACUUAAGCAUAUCAAUAAGCGGAGGA
RNAcentral lists this unclassified non-coding RNA (374 nucleotides) under soil metagenome. RNAcentral describes it as "partial contains internal transcribed spacer 2 and large subunit ribosomal RNA". The stretch from base 1 to 120 matches the Rfam family "5.8S ribosomal RNA", at positions 35 to 154 of the family's 154-position model. The record is from RNAcentral.